Molecule: ribosomal RNA, 301 nt
Filed under: uncultured bacterium
Lineage: Bacteria
Description: partial 16S ribosomal RNA
Rfam family: Bacterial small subunit ribosomal RNA
Source: RNAcentral
CAGUCGCCGCGGUAAAACGAACCGUGCGAACGUUAUUCGGAAUUACUGGGCUUAAAGCGCGUGUAGGCGGGCCGCCACGUCGGUUGCUGAAAUCCCCCGGCUCAACCGGAGAAGUGGCAUCGAUACGAGCGGCCUUGAGGGGGGUAGGGGGAUCUGGAACUUCCGGUGGAGCGGUGAAAUGCGUUGAGAUCGGAAGGAACGCCCGUGGCGAAAGCGAGGUCCUGGACCCUUUCUGACGCUGAGACGCGAAAGCCAGGGGAGCGAACGGGAUUAGAUACCCGAGUAGUCCAUGUCUCUUAUU